GAAUAUUAGUCAAUGCUCGAAAGAGUGAACUAGCUAACUGAAAUCAAUUAUAAUAAUUGAUAACAUAAGGGAAAAUAAUGAUAUUACCUUAUUAUUAGUGUCGUCCAAAACUGGUGCCAGAAGACUCGGUAAGGCCAGAGACACAAACGUUAAUCGUCUUAAUCAGGCGUAAAGGGUUUGUAGGCAGCUUUAAAAUUAGAUUAUUAAAUUAAAUAAAUAAAAAUUAUUAAUUAAUAAUUAAAGACAAAAAGCUAGAAUCAAAAAGAGGAUAUAUUAAAGAAUGCUUAGAGUAGGUCUGAUAUCCUUAGAUACUAAGUAGAAUAUUAAAGGCGAAAGCUUUUUUCCAUUAAUGAUUGACGCUCAGAAACGAAGGUGAGGAUAGGAAAUAGGAUUAGAUACCCAAAAUACCCCUCUCUGUCAACGAUGAAUGGUAAUUAUUAGUAAAAAUUUUAUUAAUGAUAAUGUUAACACGAUAACCAUUCCGCCUUGUGAGUACAACUGCAAAGUUGAAAACAAAAAAAUUAGUCGGUUUCGGAGCAAACGAAGUGAAGCAUGUUAUUUAA
This 563-nucleotide ribosomal RNA is filed under the name Russula gracillima. RNAcentral's name for it is "mitochondrial SSU rRNA". It matches the Rfam family "Bacterial small subunit ribosomal RNA", at positions 359 to 949 of the family's 1533-position model. The record is from RNAcentral. Lineage: Eukaryota; Fungi; Basidiomycota; Agaricomycetes; Russulales; Russulaceae.